This 474-nucleotide ribosomal RNA is filed under the name Prevotella intermedia. RNAcentral describes it as "bacterial SSU rRNA". It matches the Rfam family "Bacterial small subunit ribosomal RNA", at positions 28 to 488 of the family's 1533-position model. The record is from RNAcentral. Lineage: Bacteria; Pseudomonadati; Bacteroidota; Bacteroidia; Bacteroidales; Prevotellaceae.
GAUGAACGCUAGCUAUAGGCUUAACACAUGCAAGUCGAGGGAAACGGCAUUAUGUGCUUGCACAUUUUGGACGUCGACCGGCGCACGGGUGAGUAUCGCGUAUCCAACCUUCCCUCCACUCGGGGAUACCCCGUUGAAAGACGGCCUAAUACCCGAUGUUGUCCACAUAUGGCAUCUGACGUGGACCAAAGAUUCAUCGGUGGAGGAUGGGGAUGCGUCUGAUUAGCUUGUUGGUGCGGGUAACGGCCCACCAAGGCUACGAUCAGUAGGGGUUCUGAGAGGAAGGUCCCCCACAUUGGAACUGAGACACGGUCCAAACUCCUACGGGAGGCAGCAGUGAGGAAUAUUGGUCAAUGGACGUAAGUCUGAACCAGCCAAGUAGCGUGCAGGAUUGACGGCCCUAUGGGUUGUAAACUGCUUUUGUUGGGGAGUAAAGUGGGGCACGCGUGCCUUUUUGCAUUUACCCCUCGAAUA